Molecule: ribosomal RNA, 289 nt
Filed under: uncultured Erythrobacteraceae bacterium
Lineage: Bacteria; Pseudomonadati; Pseudomonadota; Alphaproteobacteria; Sphingomonadales; Erythrobacteraceae
Description: partial 16S ribosomal RNA
Source: RNAcentral
CUACUAGGGUAUCUAAUCCUGUUUGCUCCCCACGCUUUCGAACCUCAGCGUCAAUACCUGUCCAGUCAGUCGCCUUCGCCACUGGUGUUCUUCCGAAUAUCUACGAAUUUCACCUCUACACUCGGAAUUCCACUGACCUCUCCAGGAUUCUAGCCAUCCAGUUUCAAGGGCAGUUCCGGGGUUGAGCCCCGGGAUUUCACCCCUGACUUGAAAAGCCGCCUACGUUCGCUUUACGCCCAGUAUUUCCGAACAACGCUAGCUCCCUCCGUAUUACCGCGGCUGCUGGCAC